GACGAACGCUGGCGGCGUGCUUAACACAUGCAAGUCGAACGGAAAGGCCCUGCUUGCAGGGUACUCGAGUGGCGAACGGGUGAGUAACACGUGGGUGAUCUGCCCUGCACUUCUGGAUAAGCCUGGGAAACUGGGUCUAAUACCGGAUAGGAGCCAUUUUUAGUGUGAUGGUUGGAAAGUUUUUUCGGUGUAGGAUGAGCUCGCGGCCUAUCAGCUUGUUGGUGGGGUAAUGGCCUACCAAGGCGGCGACGGGUAGCCGGCCUGAGAGGGUGGACGGCCACAUUGGGACUGAGAUACGGCCCAGACUCCUACGGGAGGCAGCAGUGGGGAAUAUUGCACAAUGGGCGCAAGCCUGAUGCAGCGACGCCGCGUGGGGGAUGACGGCCUUCGGGUUGUAAACUCCUUUCGCUAGGGACGAAGCUUUUUGUGACGGUACCUAGAUAAGAAGCACCGGCUAACUACGUG
This 465-nucleotide ribosomal RNA is filed under the name uncultured bacterium. RNAcentral describes it as "partial 16S ribosomal RNA". It matches the Rfam family "Bacterial small subunit ribosomal RNA", at positions 28 to 507 of the family's 1533-position model. The record is from RNAcentral.